UACGUAGGGAGCAAGCGUUGUCCGGAAUCAUUGGGCGUAAAGCGCGCGUAGGCGGCCCCGUAAGUCCGCUGUGAAAGUCAAAGGCUCAACCUUUGAAAGCCGGUGGAUACUGUGGGGCUAGAGUACGGAAGAGGCGAGUGGAAUUCCUGGUGUAGCGGUGAAAUGCGCAGAUAUCAGGAGGAACACCGGUGGCGAAGGCGGAUCUCUGGGCCUUACCUGACGCUGAGGCGCGAAAGCUAGGGGAGCGAACAGG
This 253-nucleotide ribosomal RNA is filed under the name uncultured bacterium. RNAcentral describes it as "partial 16S ribosomal RNA". It matches the Rfam family "Bacterial small subunit ribosomal RNA", at positions 524 to 776 of the family's 1533-position model. The record is from RNAcentral.